GCGACUGUAGCUCAGUGGUAAGAGCGCCUAGCUAAGGACUAGGAGGCCGUUGGUUCGAAUCCUGCCAGUCGUG
This 73-nucleotide transfer RNA is filed under the name Candidatus Tremblayella princeps. RNAcentral's name for it is "Candidatus Tremblaya princeps tRNA-Leu(AAG)". It matches the Rfam family "tRNA". From Rfam's summary of the family: Transfer RNA (tRNA) molecules are approximately 80 nucleotides in length. The record is from RNAcentral. Lineage: Bacteria; Pseudomonadati; Pseudomonadota; Betaproteobacteria.